CACAGGUGAAUGACUUGCACGUUGCCAUUGCUGCUUCUGUUAAUUUCAUCUUGUAAUUUUUCCAACCCUAUCAAAUGUCCUUCGGAAACCAUAGAAGGUAAAUAAAUGUUCAAGAGCAGGCUAACUCCCAUGCAUGAAAAAUGCCAGUGUCUGAUGUGAUGAGUAAAACAAUUAUCACACUGACAGUUGCUUCAAAGCCAACAUAACCCCCAACUCGUGUGUCUGUGCCGUUUAAGGCAAACAAAUGGACUAAAAUGUUCAUGUGGGUAAAAAGGGCUCAAAGUGUCUUUGAAACUUGUUUGUCAGAGUAGCUCAGAUUCUGGCUACGAGCUU
Molecule: long non-coding RNA, 333 nt
Organism: Hippocampus comes (tiger tail seahorse)
Lineage: Eukaryota; Metazoa; Chordata; Actinopteri; Syngnathiformes; Syngnathidae
Exons: 2
Source: RefSeq, a predicted model, not a curated record